RNAcentral lists this transfer RNA (73 nucleotides) under Candidatus Woesearchaeota archaeon. RNAcentral's name for it is "tRNA-Val". It matches the Rfam family "tRNA". Rfam says of the family: Transfer RNA (tRNA) molecules are approximately 80 nucleotides in length. Their secondary structure includes four short double-helical elements and three loops (D, anti-codon, and T loops). Lineage: Archaea; Nanobdellati; Candidatus Woesearchaeota. The record is from RNAcentral.
GGGCCUGUGGUCUAGUGGCUAAGACGCUUCCUUCACAGGGAAGAUAUCAGGAGUUCGAAUCUCCUCGGGCCCA